Peromyscus californicus insignis is the source of this 106-nucleotide small nuclear RNA. The record is from RefSeq and is a predicted model, not a curated record. Lineage: Eukaryota; Metazoa; Chordata; Mammalia; Rodentia; Cricetidae.
AUCAGAAUUCGGCAGCACACACACUAAAAUUGGAACCAUACAGAGAAGAUUAGUGUGGCCCUUGAACAAGGAUGCCGCCCAAAUUCAUGAAGUGUUCCUUAUUUAA